RNAcentral lists this ribosomal RNA (1581 nucleotides) under metagenome. RNAcentral describes it as "bacterial LSU rRNA". It matches the Rfam family "Bacterial large subunit ribosomal RNA", at positions 1391 to 2925 of the family's 2925-position model. The record is from RNAcentral.
CCAAUAGCGAGGCCGGAAAUGCUAACCAUCCGAUCUCAUUAGAUGGCCUUCGGGUUGUCUUGUUGGGGGAGCGUGGGACCCGAUCCGGUAGUAGUCAAGCGAUGGGGUGACGCAGGAGGGUAGUCCCGCCAGUGAAUGGUAGUACUGGUGUAAGCCUGUAGCCCGACAUCUAGGUAAAUCCGGAUGUCGUGAAGGGUAAGAGGUGAUGCAUAGCCGAUAGAGGCGAAGUAGGAUGAUCCCAUGCUGCCGAGAAAAGCCUCUGGCGAGUGCUGUUGCGGCCCGUACCCCAAACCGACACAGGUGGUCAGGUAGAGAAUACCAAGGCGAUCGAGUGAACUGUGGUUAAGGAACUCGGCAAAAUACAUCCGUAACUUCGGGAGAAGGAUGGCCGGAGGCUCUGAAGCUCUUUACGGGCUAGGGGCAGCCGGUCGCAGAGACCAGGCCCAAGCGACUGUUUACUAAAAACACAGGUCCGUGCGAAGUCGCAAGACGAUGUAUACGGACUGACGCCUGCCCGGUGCUGGAACGUUAAGAGGACCUGUUAGUCCCUUUGGGGGCGAAGCGGAGAAUUUAAGCGCCAGUAAACGGCGGAGGUAACUAUAACCAUCCUAAGGUAGCGAAAUUCCUUGUCGGGUAAGUUCCGACCUGCACGAAUGGCGUAACGACUUGGGCGCUGUCUCGACCACAGACUCGGCGAAAUUGCACUACGAGUAAAGAUGCUCGUUACGCGCGGCAGGACGGAAAGACCCCGGGACCUUUACUAUAGCUUGGUAUUGAUGCUCGGUUCGGCUUGUGUAGGAUAGGUGGGAGACUGUGAAGUGGCCACGCCAGUGGUUGUGGAGUCGUUGUUGAAAUACCACUCUGGUCGAAUUGGGUGUCUUAACCUCGGGCCAUGAUCUGGUUCAGGGACAGUGCCUGGUGGGUAGUUUAACUGGGGCGGUUGCCUCCCAAAAUGUAACGGAGGCGCCCAAAGGUUCCCUCAGCCUGGUUGGCAAUCUGGUGUUGAGUGUAAGUGCACAAGGGAGCUUGACUGUGAGACCGACAGGUCGAGCAGGGACGAAAGUCGGGACUAGUGAUCCGGCACCGCCUUGUGGAAGGGGUGUCGCUCAACGGAUAAAAGGUACCCCGGGGAUAACAGGCUGAUCUUGCCCAAGAGUCCAUAUCGACGGCAUGGUUUGGCACCUCGAUGUCGGCUCGUCGCAUCCUGGGGCUGGAGUAGGUCCCAAGGGUUGGGCUGUUCGCCCAUUAAAGCGGUACGCGAGCUGGGUUUAGAACGUCGUGAGACAGUUCGGUCCCUAUCCGCCGCGCGCGCAGGAGACUUGAGGAAGGCUGUCCCUAGUACGAGAGGACCGGGACGGACGAACCUCUGGUGUGCCAGUUGUCCCGCCAGGGGCAUGGCUGGUUGGCUAUGUUCGGAAGGGAUAACCGCUGAAGGCAUCUAAGCGGGAAGCUCGUUCCAAGAUGAGGUCUCCCACCACCUUGCGUGGUUAAGGCCCCCAGCAGACUACUGGGUUGAUAGGCCAGAGAUGGAAGCCCUGUGAGGGGUGGAGUUGACUGGUACUAAUAGGCCGAGGGCUUGCC